Molecule: ribosomal RNA, 477 nt
Filed under: uncultured bacterium
Lineage: Bacteria
Description: partial 16S ribosomal RNA
Rfam family: Bacterial small subunit ribosomal RNA
Source: RNAcentral
GAUGAACGCUGGCGGCGUGCCUAAUACAUGCAAGUCGAGCGGACGGACGAGAAGCUUGCUGCGCUGAUGUUAGCGGCGGACGGGUGAGUAACGCGGGGAUAACCUACCUAUAAGACGGGGAUAACUUCGGGAAACCGGAGCUAAUACCGGAGAAUAUUUUGAACCGCAUGGGUCAAAAGUGAAAGACGGUCUUGCAGGCAGUUAUAGAUGGAUCCGCGCUGCAUUAGCUUGUUGGUGGGGUAACGGCUUACCAAGGCAACGACGCGUAGCCGGCCUGAGAGGGUGACCGGCCACACUGGGACUGAGAUACGGCCCAGACUCCUACGGGAGGCAUCAGUGGGGAAUAUUGCACAAUGGGCGGAAGCCUGAUGCAACAACUCCGCGUGCGGGAUGACGGCCUUCGGGUUGUAAACCGCUUUCGCCUGUGACGAAGCGUGAGUGACGGUAAUGGGUAAAGAAGCACCGGCUAACUACGUG